AACUUUCAACAACGGAUCUCUUGGUUCUGGCAUCGACGAAGAACGCAGCAAAAUGCGAUAAGUAAUGUGAAUUGCAGAAUUCAGUGAAUCAUCGAAUCUUUGAACGCACAUUGCGCCCGCCAGUAUUCUGGCGGGCAUGCCUGUUCGAGCGUCAUUU
RNAcentral lists this ribosomal RNA (157 nucleotides) under Fusarium oxysporum. RNAcentral's name for it is "5.8S ribosomal RNA". It matches the Rfam family "5.8S ribosomal RNA". Rfam says of the family: 5.8S ribosomal RNA (5.8S rRNA) is a component of the large subunit of the eukaryotic ribosome. It is transcribed by RNA polymerase I as part of the 45S precursor that also contains 18S and 28S rRNA. Lineage: Eukaryota; Fungi; Ascomycota; Sordariomycetes; Hypocreales; Nectriaceae. RNAcentral also lists the same sequence under 1 other name. The record is from RNAcentral.